Molecule: unclassified non-coding RNA, 387 nt
Filed under: soil metagenome
Description: partial contains 5.8S ribosomal RNA, internal transcribed spacer 2, and large subunit ribosomal RNA
Rfam family: 5.8S ribosomal RNA (bases 1-120)
Source: RNAcentral
GAUGAAGAACGUAGCGAAAUGCGAUAAGUAAUGUGAAUUGCAGAAUUCAGUGAAUCAUCGAAUCUUUGAACGCACAUUGCGCCCAUUAGUAUUCUAGUGGGCAUGUCUGUUCGAGCGUCAUUAAUUCCACUUAAGCCCUGCUUAGUGUUGGGAAUCUACUCUAGUGGUGCUACCCUGGAGCUACCCCUGAAAGGGGGCUGGCCCGGUAGCUACCCUGUAGUUCCUCAAAGAUAGUGCGCGGAGUUGCGUGGUCCUCUGAGCUUAGUAACUAUACACCUAGCUUUUGAGUGUCCCGCGGCGCCUGCCGUUUAAACCCCAUCUUUUAAUGGUUGACCUCGGAUCAGGUAGGAAUACCCGCUGAACUUAAGCAUAUCAAUAAGCGGAGGA